Molecule: long non-coding RNA, 184 nt
Organism: Oreochromis aureus
Lineage: Eukaryota; Metazoa; Chordata; Actinopteri; Cichliformes; Cichlidae
Exons: 2
Source: RefSeq, a predicted model, not a curated record
ACUAUCUACAACACAUGGUAGAAACCUUAAAUUAAGACCAAGAACACUAGAGUUCGCCUAUAAGAUUGCUGAACAAGGGGAGGGUGCAUUCGGCCUCCUCGGCUGUAAUUGGUCCAGCCCAGAGUCGAUCAUGACCAAUUGGCCAAUCCAACACCUUUCAUUAUAUAUACCCUUCCUAAAAAAA